This 3376-nucleotide long non-coding RNA is filed under the name Xyrichtys novacula (pearly razorfish). Lineage: Eukaryota; Metazoa; Chordata; Actinopteri; Labriformes; Labridae. The record is from RNAcentral.
GGUGGAAUUUGGGGGUUAGCCAGUGGAGACAGACGAGAGACACUUUGCAGCGUUUAGCAGGUUACAGUGAAGAACUUUCUUUAACCACAGAAACCUGGAGUAGAACCAGACUGAUGUCAGACAGUCAUCUGUGAAUCCACCUCAGCUAAAGAUGGUGAUGAAUUCCUCCCGUUUCCAUAUCUAUGAUCACUCACUUAUUCAUGUUUCUUAAUAAAGAAAUAAGGGAGAAGUCUCAUGAUGAUUGCAUGUACAGGGAGUGUAGGCGCUGCAUCGUCACAUGGAACAAAAUAGAUAUCGAGGACGUUGGUGAGGAGCAAGAAAAGUGUUUCUGUCCUGCAGACCUCAAGUUGCACGGCCAUGCUGACGUCCUGAUCGUGUAGAGCAGCUGAUGAACCCAGCAGUAGAUAUCAACCUUCAAGUCUCAACCUGGAUUACCGUGCACCUUGCAAUUUUUAUCAAGUAAAUCAAACUGAGACGAACUUCUGCAAAAGCUCUCCAGACCCGUGGGUAUGUGAGAAAAUCUAUCAGUUUCUCGGGGGAAUUCAGGGACAAGAAGGGAACUUCACAGAUGAGUCACAAACAAAAAUAAAAAGGAAUGUGUUUAAUAAACGCUUUGUUUAAAUCGUUCCAGAUGGAAACAAAUCAACAUUGCCCAAGUGGAAAAACAUCGUCCUUUUUCUUUUUUUUUGAGCAAUGAAAACAAGUCAUGGAAAAAGUCUCAACCUUCUUCUUUGUCUUUUUUACACCUUCUUCUCCAAACUUUCCUCACACUCUUCCCUGUCUGAGAGAAAAAAGCAGAAACACCUUAUUUUAGGAGGUAAAAAAGGGGGAAGGAGAGGUGGAAAGUCCCUUUAAGGAUUCAGGUCAGUUACUUCCACAUGUCCGAUCUCUCUCUGACCGUCUGACUCAAGCUGCUAUCAUACAGCUGAGACACCAGUCAGGUGAUGAACGCGGCCAGCUGAUUAUGUGCAAGAAGACAAAAGUUAUGAGCUUGAACAUGUCUGUUUCUGUCUGUAAAUGAUUUUAGCAGACAUGUGAAGAAGACGACAGGCUGGUUUAGUGAGGAACAUCUACUGUUUGGCGUGUAGUUGUAAGGUUUCUCCUCCACUACGCUGACGAUACUCUGCUAUUCAUGAUGGAGUCUUUACUUUGAACAUCUGUUAAGAUUUAAAGUGUUUUUAAAGUGUAUUAAUACAGACAGUCAGUAGAAUGCAUGAAGCAUUGAGAGAAGCAAAGAUUCAAGAUGCAGUCUCCAGACUCAGUAAACAAUAAAAUAUGAAAUGCAUCGACUGAAUAAAGACUGAGAUGUUUGAGGACACACAUGGCAAAUCUCGUGAUUAAAAUGUUUCAAAGUUCAGGUCUUUGGCUUCAGUUUUGACCCUUUUUCCUACCUUUAUUAGGGCCAGAGUAAAACGUGGAGCAACAGCCUUGUUUGAACCCGAAAUAAAAAAGAGAUGAAUAGAUUAAUUUGUUUAUUUAUCUAUUCCUUUUUCCCUUUCUGCCGUUCUUCCAGCCUUCCUACCUAAACGAGCCCAAAUCUUUCAGUUUAAAUGGGCUCCAAAACUCACCAAACUUCAGUCAUGCAUUAGGCCUGUUGAAAAAUUUGAUAUUUUACAGGUUUUGCAAAAUCGCUUGCUCAGUAGCACCCCCUACAGUUCAGCCUAGAUGCGUGACUUUUGCAAGGUACAUGAAUGAUGCAAAAAUCCUCUUGAACCCAUCCUCUAAUCCACCAAGAAGCGACGUAAAAUUUGUCUGAUGUUGCAGACAAACUUUGGGGUUCAAAAUUAUCAAAGAAUUUCCCGUGUUUUCAGAAGGUGGUCGAAGCAGCGCGUCAAACUCUAAUAGCGUAACAGGAAGUUACUGUAACAUUUCCACACAGUGUCCGAUCUCAGUGAUAUUUCAUCAACACGAUCGAAGUCAACCCCUAAACACAAUGACUUCAGUUAUAACGCCACCCUGUGGGAUAGCAUGGUACUAGCUCCCCCGGUACAAUAUCCAAUCAUGUCCAGAUUUCACGGUCCAAGCGUACUCUGAUCUUCUUAGACACUCUUGUUGUAGUUAUGGUGCCAUCUAUGUUUUACCUCCCACUUGCACCAUUAAACUUUUUUUUGCCAUUAAAAUUCAUAAAUAUUUGAGCUUGGUUAAAUUUAUAGCUGGUAGAAGUUGAUGUUUGGGCUUUAAAUUGAACAUGCAUGCUGAAAGUCAUGGGCUGGAAGGUGGACCUAAAGGUGCAGUGAGCAGCUUCUUAAUAUCAUAUGGUUGGGACAUACCCCAAUGUGUGCAAAGGUGCAAGGUGCUUGAAUUUAGCGCCUUAUUUAAGGUUUGGGCACAUAAACAGGUCAGUUCAACUCAACCCAAAGAUGUUCACUGGAGUUCUUACCCAGCUCUGCAGGUAGAAAGUCUGGCAUAACUGCCCUUUCUGCUAAAUUGACUCGUAAAGUAGUUACUUUGAAUCUGAUAUCUGGUUAUUUUACAGGGCGUCUAGUUAAAAUUAGCGAUUUUAAGGAACAAAGGAUCAGUAUUAGACAACCAGAGGAUGAGAACAAGUUUCACUUCCUCACUGAGCUCUAACAGAAAGCAUUGAAAUGAAAAAAAUAACAGCAAAGGUUAAAGAUGAUGUCGGUCUGAUCUGACAGAGUUAUGGAAGUGGUGGCACUGAGGUCUGUGUCAUUAGUAGAAAGUCACAGAGUGUUUUUACCGCAGCAUUUACAGCCUGAUUUGUUUUUCAAAUGCAUGUUUAUGGAAAAAUGAUUUUCUACCAAGUGUAGAGGGGAGGAUGUUUGGAGAAAAGGGACUUUUUCCUGAAAUGUGACUUUUAUCUGCGCCUGUAGGCCGAGCGAGGGAGCGAGCGGAUUUGAUUUCUUCUUUCUGAUUGAACUGCCGCCUCGUCGUCAGGGUGGUGAUCUGAGGUUUCUGGUUGUUCUGUUUUCUUGUAAACCGUCAGUCAGGGUUAACUACACCUACACAUUAUAUCGAGGGUGUGUGUUUCUGCAAAGUGCAGAUAUGUUUGCAGAAGUGUAUAAACACACUUUACUGUCUGAACUGUGUGUUCAGACCGUCUUUGUGUGAUUGUGUGAGUUUCUGUGUGUAGAUGAGGUUCAGGCGAUGACUGUACAGGAGAUUAAACCUCAGAUCACCUUCAAUAAUGAGGUUAAAUCAUGAGAAAGGUCAUUUAUCCACUGGAAGGGCAUCCAGAAGGCAUGUUUUUAGCCGUCUUAUGUCAGAAAUACUUCCAGAGUGUUCUGUUAUAUUUCUAAUAAAAGGAAAGAGUUUUUUUUUUAGUUUUUAUCUGAUGGAAACUCAAAAAAGGAAUUAGAAACUCUGGAAGGGCAUCCACUAUUUUAGAUUUUGAUGAUGGAAAGGCAUCCGGGAAGCA